AGUGAACGCUGGCGGUAGGCCUAACACAUGCAAGUCGAACGGCAGCACAGUAAGAGCUUGCUCUUACGGGUGGCGAGUGGCGGACGGGUGAGGAAUACAUCGGAAUCUACUUUUUCGUGGGGGAUAACGUAGGGAAACUUACGCUAAUACCGCAUACGACCUACGGGUGAAAGCAGGGGAUCUUCGGACCUUGCGCGAUUGAAUGAGCCGAUGUCGGAUUAGCUAGUUGGCGGGGUAAAGGCCCACCAAGGCGACGAUCCGUAGCUGGUCUGAGAGGAUGAUCGGCCACACUGGAACUGAGACACGGUCCAGACUCCUACGGGAGGCAGCAGUGGGGAAUAUUGGACAAUGGGCGCAAGCCUGAUCCAGUCAUACCGCGUGGGUGAAGGAGGCCUUCGGGUUGUAAAGCCCUUUUGUUGGGAAAGAAAAGCAGCAGGUUAAUACCCCGCUGUUCUGACGGUACCCAAAGAAUAAGCACCGGCUAACUUCGUG
RNAcentral lists this ribosomal RNA (492 nucleotides) under uncultured bacterium. Its description in RNAcentral is "partial 16S ribosomal RNA". It matches the Rfam family "Bacterial small subunit ribosomal RNA", at positions 29 to 507 of the family's 1533-position model. The record is from RNAcentral.